RNAcentral lists this long non-coding RNA (429 nucleotides) under Helianthus annuus (common sunflower). Its description in RNAcentral is "sRNA HanXRQr2_Chr10g0423701". The record is from RNAcentral. Lineage: Eukaryota; Viridiplantae; Streptophyta; Magnoliopsida; Asterales; Asteraceae.
GUGCUCGAAACCCCCCAACAACUUCGAAGGAUACUUUAUUAAUUAAAGUGCACCGCCCAAGACACUUUUGUCGGCUGUUGAUAGUCCAAGCCCAAGUAACAAUAAUAUUUGGUUGUUUGUUUUAGUGUUCCAAGGCACCGCCCCUAGUAUCCAAUCAAUACGUAAAGGGUGUUUAAAUCAGUCACAUUAAAAGCACAGCCCAAAGCACUAUCAAUUAAUGUUGUUGGUGUCAAUUAAUCAAGGAUCACGGCCACCGCCAAGAAAAUAAUCAUUUUGAGUCCUCACAAUUCUUGUUUGUUCUGCCCAAGAAAACAAAUACCUUUGUUGACUUUUGUUGGAUACAAGAUAAGGCACCACCCACAAUAAGCCAAUAAGUUUUGUUGUUUGUUGUUUAUGUUCACUCCCCAAAGCAACGACAAAUGCUUGUGA